GUGCCAGCCGCCGCGGUAAAACGUAGGUACCGAGCGUUAUCCGGAUUUACUGGGCGUAAAGCGCGUUCAGGCGGCCAGGCAAGUCGGGCAUGAAAUCUCUCGGCUCAACCGGGAGGGGAUGUCCGAUACUGCUUGGCUUGAGGGCAGUAGAGGGUGGUGGAAUUCCGGGUGUAGUGGUGAAAUGCGUAGAGAUCCGGAGGAACACCAGUGGCGAAGGCGGCCACCUGGACUGCACCUGACGCUCAAACGCGAAAGCUAGGGGAGCGAACGGGAUUAGAAACCCUGGUAGUCC
This 292-nucleotide ribosomal RNA is filed under the name uncultured bacterium. RNAcentral describes it as "partial 16S ribosomal RNA". It matches the Rfam family "Bacterial small subunit ribosomal RNA", at positions 505 to 796 of the family's 1533-position model. The record is from RNAcentral.